GAAAUGCGAUAAGUAAUGUGAAUUGCAGAAUUCAGUGAAUCAUCGAAUCUUUGAACGCACAUUGCGCCCCUUGGUAUUCCAUGGGGCAUGCCUGUUCGAGCGUCAUCUACACCCUCAAGCUCUGCUUGGUGUUGGGCGUCUGUUCCGCCUCCGCGCGGGACUCGCCCCAAAGGCAUUGGCAGCGGUCUCUUGCACCUCUCGCGCAGCACAUUGCGCUUCUCGAGGCGAGGCAGGCCGCGACCACGAAGCCACACAUCGUCUUUGACCUCGGAUCAGGUAGGGAUACCCGCUGAACUUAA
Molecule: unclassified non-coding RNA, 299 nt
Filed under: uncultured Pleosporales
Lineage: Eukaryota; Fungi; Ascomycota; Dothideomycetes; Pleosporales
Description: sequence contains ITS1
Rfam family: 5.8S ribosomal RNA (bases 1-105)
Source: RNAcentral